Long non-coding RNA from Bombyx mori (domestic silkworm), 10057 nucleotides. RefSeq lists it as uncharacterized. Lineage: Eukaryota; Metazoa; Arthropoda; Insecta; Lepidoptera; Bombycidae. The record is from RefSeq and is a predicted model, not a curated record. The transcript is spliced from 2 exons.
AUAACCAUACUUUAUUCGUAACCAAGCAAAUAGCUCGCUGAUUCGUUCGCAUUGAUUGGUCUUUCGAAAUAACCUUGAAUUUUAUUGUGUUUCAAUAAAACUAAGUUUGCAAGUAUCUGAUUCUGAAAAGGAUUCAUUUUAGUUUUUAAUCGAAUGAACACGUGCAGUUCGGUACACGCAAGUGUUGCGCCUCAAAUAAGUCCUACAGUAAGCCUUUUCAUUCUGGACAAUUCUGUUUUUGUGGUAUUACACACUUCCACGUAGAUCCUCACGGUAGUGCGGUGAUAGAAGCAAAGCUUCCCUGCUUGAUCACAAAAUAAUACGCAUCUGUAAAACAAUGCACCUAAAGGGGGUUUGAAGUCGUCGUGGCGUAAAGGAUAAGACAUCCGGUGCAAUCGUGUCGAGCGAUACAACGGUGAUUGAAUCUUGCAGGCGGGUACCAAUUUUUUUAAAUGAAAUACGUACAUAACAAUUGUUCACGAUUGACUUCCACGGUGAAGGUGUAAUCGUGUAAUCUUGUUACCACCAAGUGGUUACCCGACCCGUGGCACGGGAGGUUAGGUAGUUACCACCAUCCUGCCUACUUCUGCCAUGUAGCAGUAAUGCGUUCCGGUCUGGAAGGUGGAGUAGCCGCUAGCCGCAGCAACUAUACUGAGAUGUUAGAACUUAGAAAGUUUAUUAAUAAAAUCUUUGAUAUAAUCAAUUUUAAUUAUAAAAACUUCAGAAUCUCAUCGUAAUUUCAGACUUUCUAUUGGGUCUUUCUAAACCGAGUUUAAGAUUUAUUGCCAUACAACAAGCAACUGGUGGUAGGACCUCUUGUGAGUCCGCACUGGUAGGUAUCACCACCUCGACUAUUUCUGCCGUGAAGCAGUAAUGCGUUUUGGUUUGAAGGGUGGGACAGCCGUUGUAACUAUACUUGAGAUACUUUAGAACUUAUGUCUUAAGGUGGGUGGCGAAAUUUACGUUGUUGAUGUCUAUGGGCUCCAGUGACCAAUGAACACCAGGUAGGCUGUGAGGUCGUCCACCCAUCUAAGCAAUAAAAAAAAUUUACAUUGUGUCUGUUGAAUGAAUUGCAUCAAAUAUUUUAGUCGUGAGCGUAAUAAUUGUUCAUUGUUGUAUGUUUGAUUUAUUACUGCACGAGUUACUCGAAAACAAUCAAAUUAUUGGUGUUUUUAAUAACUCUGCAUAAAUUAUAAUAUUAUUACUGUUUAUUUAACUAAUAUUUUUACUGCCAAGAAGAGAACGAUCUCACAAGACAUCAAUAACAUGGUGUAAUUUAUUACUUAAAUCAUACCAGAAAAAAAUAUAAUUUCCGUAAUUAUUGUCGGUAGGGCGUAUUGUGACCCCGCAUGGUUAGGUACCACCACCCUACCUAUUUCUGCCGUGAAACAGUACUGUUUCUUUUUGAAGGGUAGCCAGAAGCCAUUGUAAUAUAAAAUUGAGAUUUAGAAUUCAUGUCUCAAGCUGGAGUAGCAUUUACUUUGUUGAUGUCAUUGGGCUCUGGUAACCACUUAGCACCAGGUGGGCCGUGAGCACGUCCACCCAUUUACGUUAUAAAAAAAUGUAGUCAUUUGUAUCUAUAUUUUUAGACGAGAGGAUCUUACUUUUUUUCCUACCUAUGCUGAUAACCUUCAGAGGCUAUAUCAGCGUUGCCCUGGCGUGUAGGUGAGCUCUCGGAGCUCAAACCGGAGUGUUGCUAGCACUGGCCCUAGCAAGAGCAGUGCUUCACAGAAUCUACCACCGAAUCGGAAAAGCGACCCACGGAGAAGAUCCGGCGAGAAACACAGCGGGCUGUGUCUUUGGGUUAAUUUACUCGCCAAGUCCUUCGUUCCACGAGCACAGUGACCGGAGGAUCUUACAAUAAAGUUUGUUGUCGGCUAUAGAUCAAACAAAAGCUAAAGUAAGUAAAGUACUUUACUUUACUAAAGUACUUCCUCAUCACCCUUCCUCAAUAUAUUUUCCUGUCUAACGUCCUCUACUUCUGCCCUUCGCUCAUAUCAUGUUCCACCAGUACGGUGGAAGAUCUUGUGUGAUCCACGCGACCCACUACCGCCAUCUUCCAUUUUCCGAUUGCACAAAACAAAUGAAUACCGAUUGCAAACUGCAAACUUGUAAACCGCGACACGAUAAUAUGGUCCAGUAAGAAAAACGAGAUAGCCGUUAUUUCAAUCAAAAUGUCGACUUUGCUUCAUUGAUCUGAUAAUCGCUUAAUAUCAGGUGAGCUGUGCAUCUACCUUUAAUAUCAGAUGAACUAUGUUAUGUUAUGUUAUUUCUAACUAUGUUAAAAGAAUGUGUGCAGUUCAGACCCGGUAUAACGAAACCUUCGGAAGUAGUUAUCUCAUUUUUUCCGCUACAAAGGUAUAUGUUUGUCUCAUUUUAGUGUCGUUCUUUUCGUUUCCCAACGGUGCUGUAGCAGCUUUUGCUACCGACACGUACACUGGUGAUGAAAGGGAUGCUGUUUUAACUUUCCCCUCGUUUAGUUAAAACAAGCGAUCACCAUAAAUGAAAUGAGUGUGUUGUGUUAGCGUCGGGCCUGCUUUACUUAUUGCAAACAUUAUGUUUUGUUUCCGUAUAAAAUUUAAUUACAACGCGAUAAAUGUUAACAAGAGUCGUGGCUUUACACACACAAUGUGCUCAUAGUACAGCCGUAUCGAGCACACCCCUCACAUCUUAGAUAUUUGUUCGAAUUAAAUUUAACUUAUUUUUUGGGUCGGAUACCUAGUCUUUGGUUUUGGUAAAUUUAAGUAUAUUUGCCAAUAGAUUUAAAGUAAACUGUCACAGCAAUUAGAUCAGAGGAUGUUAUAAUGAUAUUUAUUAUUUUGAUUGCACUAAAAAGGUGGAUGAACUCACGGCCCACCUGCUCUUAAAUAAAUACUGGUGCCUAUAGAAACCAUAACGCGUAUGCCGCAACCCACAAUCAGAUAUGAGGUCGAAAUCUCAGCUAUACUGUAAUAUUUUUUUUAUUUUUUAAUCCGGUAGCCUAAGAAGCUAUUCCAGCUACGCCCUAACGGGUAUGUGAGCUCACGAGCACAAUCUGAGAGAAUUUGCUAACACUAGCCCUAGCAAAAGCAGUGCUUCGCAGAAUCUACUACUGGAUCGGAAUCUCGUCCCGCUGAGAAGAAACUCAGUGGGCUGUGUCUAUGGGUUAGUUGGUACAACACCUGCCCCACCCUUCAAACAGGAACGCAGGACUGCUUCGUAGCAGAAAUAGGCAGGCAUUGGCCGGCGCAGGCCACGCCUUCUUUUCCGGUACGCUCUACCACAGUAAACAGUAUACAAGCACAGUCUAUAGUUCAUUAGGAACACUAAUUAUCAAUGUAUUAUUUUCCAGAUUAACAAAUCUGUUUAAAAAUUAUCAUUCAAGACCCGACAGCGUUAUAUUUCAGUAAUAACAGUCCCGUAAUAAAGAGUUGUAAACGAGAGCUCCGGGAAAAGUUACCCUUAUGAGAUAGUCUAUGAGUUAGCAUUUGCUACCCGGAAACACAGUUUUGAAUUGCAAGCUGCCCGGACACUCCACAUAACAAACGUAUUCAAUAAACUAUUGCUAACUACCUACAUGCAGCCGAUUUGACUCCGUACGCUGUGUGUAUGUAUGAGACAACAGAACGGGAUAGACAGAAAGAAAACUAUUCACUCACGUAUUGAAGCAUUACACCAGUUUUACAAAAAAAAGUAAAAAGGUCAUUGCACCAUGCGUGGGGAGAUAAAAUAAUUGCUUAGUAUUGCUCGUACAUUGUGUAUAUUUUCAUUAAUUAUAUUAUACAUACACUGUGUAUAUUUUACAGAUUUUUUCUAAGCAUAAGUGACCUCUAUUGCACAUAACUAUUUUAUCACAUAAACAUAAUAUAUAUUUUUCUGCUUUUAUCUGCAAUUAUCUCGGCCAAACAUUGUUAUAAUUCUUUUUUAUUAAUAAAGUACUUUUAUUGUUUUUAUUUUUGUUUUCUGAGUCCUCUCCUGAUCACGAACAUUUUUUUUAUUGCUUAGAUAGUCGAAUGAGCUCACGAUCCAUCUGUUGUUAAUUGGUUAUCGGAGCCCAUGGAAAUCACAACAUAAAUGCCACCACCCACCUUGAGACAUGCAUUCUAAAACUCCGUUACAGUACAACGACUGCCAUACCCUUCAAAAUGAAACGCUACUCGUGCAGGCUCACAAACAAGACAUCCUAUCACCAGUAACUAAGCUAAUUAUAUUUUUUGCAGGUUUGAUUUUUAUUAAACGAUAUUUUUCCUGCAUCACACCAAGUAAACAGCAAGACGCAUCCAGUUAAUUUAUUCUACAAACGAACCUCGUAUCUGCUUCGCGGCAGAAAUAAGCAGGAGGGUGAAAACUAUCCGUGCGAGCCCAUGGAUGAUAAUAAUCACAAAACCGAUAGAUAUUUGAUAAAAACUUGAAUCACCCUAACGACAUUUGCAACAUAAGCUUGAGCAUAUCUGAUGUUCUGAGAAUCCACUGAGUUUCUCGCCGGAUCUUCUCAGUGGGUUGCGAUUCCGAUCCGGUAUUAGAUUCAGCGAAGCACUGCUCUUGUUCGUGUUAGGCUAGUGUUAGCAAAUCCUUUCAAGUUCAGUCCGUGAGAUCCCCUACCCAUCUGAGGGUAGCUAUAAUAAAGUAGCUGUAUCCUCUGGCUGAUAGCGUAAAGGCUACAGCGAAUAGCUAGGGAAAUAAGUUCCGAGGAACAUUCGUACCGGGGAUGGACAAUUUGGACAACUGCUCGGUGGAAGAUCGUCCCUCUGUCAUCCCUCUCAAACUAAUAUCAAUUUAAAUUCGAACCGUUCUAUACAAAAACAGGAACACUAGGUACUUUGUAAUUUAUUUAUAUUAAAUUAGGAAAAGCAAAUUUCUUUAUUUGUCAAAGCUUUUGGCACUACAACAACUUUAGGAAUAUUUUUUUUAUAACUAAAAUAGGUAAACGCCACCCAGACAUGAUUGACUUUCCAAUUGCGUUAGUACAACCCCAGUUCUGAAGCAAACCGGAGCAGAAGCCUUCAAAGACACACGCUGGACAAUGAUAUCCACGACGUGCCUUUCAAAAUCUUCAGGGGGCUGAAUCAACGAUGGUGAACACUCCAAUACGAGAAAAGAAUAAUAAGAAUUAAUAUACUGGCAUAGGAUCAAACGACACGGGUUUUUGGUUGGAGGGAGACUGUUGUUUCUUAGAUUGUUUUAAGUAACGGAGACCUCAAAAUGUCUCUUUAAUUAAGUCAAACCAUACUCUCGUGUCUUCAACAAUAUCUCCCUUUAAAUUCAGACCUUGAAUUCUAUACGGAAAACAUAUAUGUUCUUCCAGGUCUCCGGUUAUCUAUACCAGCAAUCCUAAAUCUGUUAUAAUUGAAAAACGAACUGGACAUAGAGCACCCAACAUCUUAUCUACCGUACCGACCACCGAACAUUGUGGUACUUGCUAUCAGUCCAAAAAAAAACCUGUAUUUCCUUAUUCUUAAUUUCCAUUUCAAGUGUGGUAUUUGUUUGUUAAUGUUUAGUUUUCAAUGUUUUGCUUAUUGUCUAAAUGUUAGUAAGAGUUACUGUUAUUGGAUAUGGACCCUCGAGUGGAGACCUCCUCCAGUCCUUUCCACUGAUUUUGUCCUUGCCAAUAGUUUGCCGGUCCUUCCCUAUUAAUUCAGUUAUAUCGUCAGCCCAUCGUUUUUUCGAUCUCCCUACCCUUCUUUUGCCAACUGACCCUUUCCACAUUGUAGUAUUGAUUGUCCACCUGGGGUCUGUAUAUCUGAACUGAAAUAUCAAGGUCAACAAAAGUUCUAAAUCACGAUAAAAACUAGUCAAAUUUAAGUAUUCCUAAGCUACCAUUACAGUACUAUUGACAAUUAGUAUUACAGUGCCACCGUAUGCACUCACAAAGGCAGUACACAUUACGUAUUCAUAGAUAAAAUUUCUGAAAACUAAAACCCGUGUUACAUGUCCCGGCUCGAACUUACGACCUUUUGCCGCAACGAGAACUCGGAUACGUCAAGUGAAUUAUAAUACAAACAACAAUAAACACAAGCGCAGCAUUGCGAUUAUUAAAAAAAUAAAAUGUACAUAUUUUAUAUGUACAGGUCGUUCAACUAUUUUAUUUACCUAAAAAUAUAGUAGUACUUCCAGUUGUUUACAUUUCGAAAUUGCAUUUUUUUUGUACGUAAUUUAAAAAAAAGAUAUAUUAUAUACUAUCAAACCCUACAGACGUUGUCCUGUAUAAUACACAAAGGGAAUGAAAUGAGUGAAUAAAUGUAUGCAUACAUAAAAAUUCAUUCAAGUCGAUCCAGCGUUUAGUUGCAAUAUAGACAAAUAACCUAGAUACCGACUGCAGCACCAUCUGCCGGGGUGAUUUGUGAAUCUAAGCCAUCCAUGGCGCUACCCAAACGCAUACAAUAAAAAAUCAUUCAAAUCGGUCCAGCCGUUUAAGAGGAAUUCAGUGACAUACACUCGUACAGUAGAAUUAUAUGUAUAAAGAUUAACGUCAUAUUAUUACUCUCCAAAUCCUCGCCAUCAGAGAUAUGGUCGGAUAUGAAAUCAAAGUAUCGAACAGCAGAUCCGACCUUAUGGUUUUAAUGUCGGGAAAUGCAUAACGAAAGUGAAUUCUGAGUAUGUUCAUAUUCAUCUGAAUGCAGGGUGUGACAAGACCAUUCCCGGUGCUGAUAUGUUUAAUAUAUCGAGGGGUAAAGGCUAUUUUGUUUAAGCGAAUUUUUUCCAACUUUACAGGAGGUCCAUAUAAAGUUUAAAAUUUGGAAAAAAUAUCACACUAAAAAAAACUUCUUCGGCUAUUUCAAUGGAGUGAACUUAAUUGAAGUUCAAUUAAAAAGUUCAAUCAAUUAAACCGUUCAUGCUAAUAGCAAAUAAAACGGACUCUUAAUUACAAAAAAAAAUGUCGCGUAAUUAGCAUUUCACCCCUCCAUAUUAUUAUUAUUAUUUUACUACCACUACACUGCACUAGUGUGUAGGAACCUUGUCCGCAGCCGCAAUAGCAAUAAACAAUUACUAUCCCCAAAAAAAAAGGAACUAUUGACGAGAUAACUUAACACUUUAUUCAUAUACCACGCAAACUACAGCAAAAACAUAAACUGCAGGGCGUUGACCCCGCGCGUCAUCUGGUAAUACAUUGCGUGUACAAUAUUCUUUUUUUUUUUAAACGAACACCGUAUGAAUGUAAUAAAACAACAUACUGCUUUAAACGUUUUCCACAACGAUAUUACAAUAUCUAAAAAAAAAAACUUAAAUUCCUUAUUUAAAAAAAUACUUAAAAUUACCAAUUCCCGAAGAAUACCAAUAUUACGUAUGUGUACUUAUUAUUAUUAUUUUAUUAUAUAAUUAUUAUGUAAAAACAUAUUUUCACUAAAAACAUUAAAACAAUUAUCGGUUCAAUAUUUUCUAGGUUGACUCCGCAGAACCAAAGGUCUAGAAACUUUCGGAUCAUGCGUGCGUUUAUUGUUACUCCUAAUAAGUAAGGUAAUUGUGAAUAUAGCGUUGGUACAUUUUUUAAUGAGAAAAUCGUCGGGGCACGGCUUGCAGCACUCGACCUUGGCCCAGUAGACCAUGGACACUUGCAAGACGUACCUCGUUUGAUCGGGCCUUUUCCAAUUUAAUUCCCUACACGACAUACGACUGCAUUACACAAUGACAUGUCUAUUGGUAUGCAAGCUUUGCUUAUUUCGUAAAUUCCAAAAAUACAAUCUACACCAGAAUUAACCUCCAAAAGCCACGAAGUGAACUCAUUUUGUACCGCGCAUUGACUACUUAAUCCUACACAUUAGUUUUAAAUUAUACUAUCCGUCCUGCUCGCACUCUUGCUGUCGGCCGUAAGUGUAAAAAAAACAAUACGCACUUUUUUGUUGUUGACCAAAGCGUGCAGUAUCAUUCCGUCUCGCUCGCAAUGAUAUGCUCAGCUAUACGUGUAAGCAGGACAGCCGAUGCCAAAUGACAACACUAACCGUUCUUGAUAUCACACUUCCUUCUCUAGAGACCGUCUACAAACCGACUACUAUAAAUACAUACUAGAUAAAAUGUUCUAAGUAUUAUGUAACAAGUAUUACGCGUCUAUAUAUUUACAUUAUUACAUUACGUCACGCUGACAUGUAAAAACAAAUUUAUGAAACAUAAAUCCGUCAAUUAUCUAAGCCCCCACUUUUUAUUUCAUGUUUCCUUUCCCCCGUCCACUUAUGUACAGUUAGCACAAACAUCUUGAUUUAAUUAAUUUUUUAUUACACAAAACAACAUCAGUUUAAUUGGCAACAUUUUGUAUAACGACUUCUUUAUAUACAAUAGUUCUAGAAUCGUCUAAAGUUAUAUGACAAUGAAGACUUCGACCUACGAGCUGGUGAGCCUGGCUGGAGUGGAACCCGAGGCCCGUUGGUACCCAGGACCCAGAGACGUUCGCCCCUCGCCUUCAACGAGCAACUUAAUAUUCGAAGCGUCGGAAAUAAACAAAUAUUUAAUUCGUAAGAAUUGUUAUGUUAUUGUUAGUCGCGAAAACUGAAUAUUAGCAUUGAACAUAAUUUGACGAAUUUGCACUUUGUCCAGAGCAAACAUUUUGAUUUCGAAGUGAAACUUCUAAUGCGACUUCCAACAAGGUUGCGUUAAACGUUUAACGCUGCCAUGGAAUAGAAAGAGACAGAGCGAGAGUGAAUGCGCGGCACUCGUGCGCAUGCGCGUAGUAUACCUGGUACAGGCCAGCGCGAGCGUUAGCAACAAGUAGCAUCCAAUAUUUUAAUGAAGUAUUUAAAAAUAUCUAUAUAUAUAUAUAUAUAUAUUUAUUUUUCAUCGAUAAUUUAAAAUAUAUAUAACAUAAAUGUUGAAGAUGUCGCAUCUCUUAUACACAGCAUUCCCUAUUACAAGAGCAAUCUGAUUUAAGGAUGAAAAAUGAAGAAAACCACUAUACUACACAUCGAAAAAGAAGUUUCACUUCCUUCUCGUUUGGAGCAGAAAUUGCAUGCGCACCGUUUUUUUUUUACAGAAUGUACUUAGGUCAAAUAUAUAUGAAAGUUCUAGAGGCUUCUGCGUCGGCCCGUGCUUAGGGACACAGUCCAGGUAACAUGAGUCGAUCAACUCACAUAUAUUUUUAAUGUCUAUGACUCGGAAAAACUUCAAAAAAUAUUCAUAAUAAUGAUAACUUCACACACACAUACACACACAUCUAUAUAAAACUCUUUGUAACUGUUACACAGUAUUGUGUGUGUAAUUUGAAAAAAUCCACUAAUUUAAAUAAAUACACCUUAACUAAUUACUGAUGUUGAUUGCUACAUUAAAAAAAUAAGUAAAGGUACUAAAAAUAUUUUAGUAAAAAUAUAUUGUAUUUUUAAAGCAUUUCAAUUUUAAAUCGACGUAAUAUGUAAAAUAAUUUGGUUUUUUUUUUCAAACGAUACAAGUACUUGAUAGUAAACAUUGCUUCAAAAAAAAACAUAUUUUAUACAAAAGAAAAAUGUAUUAAUUAUAUUAAUUAUUAUAAUACACAUAUCACACGUAACUAGAUUAAUAAUUAAUUCAUAACAAUUAUCUAACGAUUACUAUUCGAUACCUAUUUUUUUUUAUUUUCGGUUUGAAGCAUACUUCAUCUAUAUAGUAUUAAGUAUAUUAUUUUUUUAAACUAUUACGCAAGUAACAGAGUCCGCUUGGAGCGCGUUCCGCCGCACACGAUGAGGUACAAUUUUGCGUCAUUUUGUUGAAUAUCGAUUUUGAAUAAUUCGAUUAGAAUUUUAAUCGAUAUCAACUAUCGCAAUUCCACUAUUCACAGGCCUGCACCGGGCGCCCCUUGUCGUGUGGCAUCGCGUCUAGUUCGCGGCGUUCUGUUCUCCACGCUUACCGCCGACUGUGUCUGUGAGACAAUCCGGAGGGGUCACACGUCAGGGUUCAAAUUCAUUAGUAAUUAACAUUGCACUGUCGUUCCGAAUGUUUUAUUUUUAGUUUUUAGUCGGAUCCGUGUCCCGCCUCGUGAGGGGGGCCGCCCGCGAGCGAGGAGUGGGGCGCGCGGGGGGGCGGGGGCUCGCAUCACCGCGACGGACAGGAGCUGCCGGUGGACUUGCCGCUGAGGCACGAGAACCCGCUGGCGCCCGACUGCAGGCUCGACAUGGAUCCU